RNAcentral lists this ribosomal RNA (206 nucleotides) under uncultured bacterium. Its description in RNAcentral is "partial 16S ribosomal RNA". It matches the Rfam family "Bacterial small subunit ribosomal RNA", at positions 568 to 774 of the family's 1533-position model. The record is from RNAcentral.
CACGCAGGCGGUCUGUCAAGUCGGAUGUGAAAUCCCCGGGCUCAACCUGGGAACUGCAUUCGAAACUGGCAGGCUUGAGUCUUGUAGAGGGGGUAGAAUUCCAGGUGUAGCGGUGAAAUGCGUAGAGAUCUGGAGGAAUACCGGUGGCGAAGGCGGCCCCCCGGACAAAGACUGACGCUCAGGUGCGAAAGCGUGGGGAGCGAGCA